AGGACGAACGCUGGCGGCGUGCUUAACACAUGCAAGUCGAGCGGUAAGGCCCUUUGGGGUACACGAGCGGCGAACGGGUGAGUAACACGUGGGUGACCUGCCCCCUACUCUGGGAUAAGCCUGGGAAACUGGGUCUAAUACCGGAUAUGACCUCUGGUUGCAUGACUGGUGGUGGAAAGUGUGUUCUUGAUUGAGCACCUCGGUGGGGGAUGGGCCCGCGGCCUAUCAGCUUGUUGGUGGGGUGAUGGCCUACCAAGGCGACGACGGGU
This 269-nucleotide ribosomal RNA is filed under the name uncultured soil bacterium. RNAcentral's name for it is "partial 16S ribosomal RNA". It matches the Rfam family "Bacterial small subunit ribosomal RNA", at positions 26 to 284 of the family's 1533-position model. The record is from RNAcentral.